Molecule: small RNA, 28 nt
Filed under: Bombyx mori (domestic silkworm)
Lineage: Eukaryota; Metazoa; Arthropoda; Insecta; Lepidoptera; Bombycidae
Description: ovarian small RNA-4000
Source: RNAcentral
UUCCGAGAGAAAAAAGCUAACGGCUGCC